UUAACUCAAAUUUGUAUGCAUUUGGAACAAUGCCCCUAGCGGCAAACGUAGGCAAACGUCCAACUCCAUACAGAUUUGAGUUA
Molecule: microRNA precursor, 83 nt
Filed under: Bombyx mori (domestic silkworm)
Lineage: Eukaryota; Metazoa; Arthropoda; Insecta; Lepidoptera; Bombycidae
Description: mir-2807 microRNA precursor family
Rfam family: mir-2807 microRNA precursor family
Source: Rfam by way of RNAcentral